Long non-coding RNA from Cyanistes caeruleus (blue tit), 518 nucleotides. RefSeq lists it as uncharacterized. The record is from RefSeq and is a predicted model, not a curated record. NCBI's taxonomy places the organism in Eukaryota, Metazoa, Chordata, Aves, Passeriformes, Paridae.
UGGAAAACCUCAGCUUCCUUACAGUCACUAAAGAGGAUUGUGUUUUACUUAGAUCACAAAUUAUAUUUCUUCAGCAGCUGUUGAAAUUAGGAGAUCAUCCAAGUCAGUUAAAGAUAUCUUCCUAAGGACGUAAACAGUGCAUGACAGAGCCUGAGGGCCAGCAGAGCUCAUAGCCAGCUGCUGAGGCCACCCCAGCUGAUGGGAGCUGCCCACCAGCAGAAAUCUGUGCACAAGAAGCCACUGUGACCCCCAGGCUGGGUGAGAAAAAAGACAGUGAGUGGGGGAAACACAGCACAGCUGCUUUUGGACCCUCUUUCUCUUUGGAAAGCUAUCAUCUGUUCCCAGUAUUGAUACCUGAUCCUGCCCCAGCAUGGAGGGACUGGAUGAGCAACUCUCCCAGGUGGGCCUCCCAGAGCCCUCCAGCGCUUGGAUCCAGAAGGCAACUUUCCCAUAUCUAUGGGUGCUUGGCUCCAGUGUUUUGGCUGGGGUUUUGGCAUCUCUCCUUUCUCUGACACAAC